UACGUAGGGUGCGAGCGUUAAUCGGAAUUACUGGGCGUAAAGCGUGCGUAGGCGGUUCGUUAAGUGCGUCGUGAAAGCCCCGGGCUCAACCUGGGAAUGGCGAUGGAAACUGGCGGGCUGGAGUAUGGCAGAGGGGGGUGGAAUUCCGCGUGUAGCAGUGAGAUGCGUAGAGAUGCGGAGGAACACCGAUGGCGAAGGCAGCCCCCUGGGCCAAUACUGACGCUCAGGCACGAAAGCGUGGGGAGCAAACAGG
Molecule: ribosomal RNA, 253 nt
Filed under: uncultured bacterium
Lineage: Bacteria
Description: partial 16S ribosomal RNA
Rfam family: Bacterial small subunit ribosomal RNA
Source: RNAcentral